Molecule: non-coding RNA, 21 nt
Filed under: Caenorhabditis elegans
Lineage: Eukaryota; Metazoa; Nematoda; Chromadorea; Rhabditida; Rhabditidae
Source: RNAcentral
UUGUAUUGAUGGUGAUGGGCU